This 355-nucleotide long non-coding RNA is filed under the name Salvia miltiorrhiza (redroot sage). RNAcentral's name for it is "long non-coding RNA (SMIL_LNC012884)". The record is from RNAcentral. Lineage: Eukaryota; Viridiplantae; Streptophyta; Magnoliopsida; Lamiales; Lamiaceae.
AAGUCCCCUUUUUAUUGGGCACGGGUAUUUAGAAGAGUUAAAGUGGAUGUAAAAGUAGAUGACCCCGCAUGUUUAGUGUAUUAUUUAAUGUUAUUUAUACAUUGAUUAACUUGCUUAACUAAAUGCAUUUAAAAAUAAAAUUAAAAACACUCUCUCAUUUCCUUCGCCGGCUGCCACCGCGCUUAACGCCGGAACAGUGAAACACUGGCGAGCCCACCGCAUAAACAAAGAAACAAAGAGACCAAGAAAUUAAAAAAAUAAAAAAAUCAAAAAAUAGAAGUCUUUCAAUUGUUGAGAGAAACAGAGGAGAGACCAAAUUUUCGACGAGCCCUAAUUUUUGAAAAAAAAAACAGAG